GACGAACGCUGGCGGCGUGCUUAACACAUGCAAGUCGAACGGAAAGGCCCUGCUUUUGUGGGGUGCUCGAGUGGCGAACGGGUGAGUAACACGUGAGUAACCUGCCCUUGACUUUGGGAUAACUUCAGGAAACUGGGGCUAAUACCGGAUAGGAGCUCCUGCUGCAUGGUGGGGGUUGGAAAGUUUCGGCGGUUGGGGAUGGACUCGCGGCUUAUCAGCUUGUUGGUGGGGUAGUGGCUUACCAAGGCUUUGACGGGUAGCCGGCCUGAGAGGGUGACCGGCCACAUUGGGACUGAGAUACGGCCCAGACUCCUACGGGAGGCAGCAGUGGGGAAUAUUGCACAAUGGGCGGAAGCCUGAUGCAGCAACGCCGCGGGCGGGAUGACGGCCUUCGGGUUGUAAACCGCUUUCGCCUGGGACGAAGCGGGAGGGACGGUAAUGGGUAAAGAAGCAACGGCUAACUACGUG
This 468-nucleotide ribosomal RNA is filed under the name uncultured bacterium. RNAcentral describes it as "partial 16S ribosomal RNA". It matches the Rfam family "Bacterial small subunit ribosomal RNA", at positions 28 to 507 of the family's 1533-position model. The record is from RNAcentral.